CCAGGUCCCCUCACCAGGUGACUUCACCUGCCUGUGUAGCCCUGUCCAUGGUGCUGAUCCUUACAGCAUUACUUAGCCUGAUGUAGUAGUCAGUGUACAGUAAAUUAUGUCGAGCUAUUAUCUUGAUUAUGGAAAACAUCACAUUCUGCAGUGAGGAGGCAGACAAUAAUAUUACGCUGUUUUGCUUAAGGUGAGGGCUUUUCUUUGAUGUUGAUAUAAAUAGGUGCCAAAACCUACAAUGUUAACAAAGCAGUAAACUGGACAAAAAGAAGAGCAACAUAAACUGGUUUGAAAGUCAGCAGUAGUCUAACCCAGCAUUUCUUAAAGUAUGGGUCGCGACCCAAAGUGCGUCGCGGACCUGGUAAUAGUGGGUAUCGACGUGUCAGAGUAAAUGUAUAAAUAUUUAACUAAUUACUGGAAUUGAUUUGGUCAAGUGCAACUGCUCACUGUUUAGCAGCGGUGUCUCAGCUGUUUGGCAGCUGCUCGAAUGGGAGGAAGAUGUGUACUUCGUCGUUUUCGUGAAGAUCACUCAGCGACCCACACGCUGCAGCUCUGUUGUUCAGCAGCAGAUGAUGUGCUGUCAGCCACUGACUUGUCAUUCCCACUCGCCAUCACUUACCAUUGUCAUCAAAUGUACUCAAACUAGCCACAAGUUCUGACUGAGCUCAAUCGUCAUGAAACGCAAAUACAGCGAUGAGUUUCUCACUCUUGGUUUUGUACAAACUUUGAGAAAUAACGAGGAUCGCCCGCAAUGUGUUUUGUGCAGGGAAGUGCUUAGUAUUGAUUCUCUCAAAACGAACAAAUGAAAACGACACGUCCUGACCAAACAUCCACAGUAUGACGGUAAACCCAGGGAGUUCUUUCAGAACAGGGAAGAAUGCUUCAGGAAACAGUGCUUCGACAGCGGAAGAGUUACAUAAAGGAAUAACACAAACUGAGUGUCCCAUCCCUCACCACCAUGAUACAAACCCACUCUUUGUCUUUAUGAGUGGUCCAUCCAGCCUGCAGUCAGAACCGGGUCCAAGCUCCACUGCCAGAGUCAGAUCCACAAGGACUGGUGACCUCCAGCCUGCAGUCAGAACCGGGUCCAGCCUCCACCACCACAGCCAGCCCACAGGGACUAGUGUCCUUUCCUCUGUAAUUAAUCUAUCUGCUGAGCCUCAUCUCUCUCUCUCUCUCUCUCUUAACCUACUCACAUAUCUGUAGAAAUAACAAACCCUGCACGGUCUCUCCUUAAACAUCUCCCCAUAAUUGCCAGUGAUAUUCGUGUUCACUCCAUUAAGUUGACCACACCGAGUGGGACGCCAGAGAGGGAAGAUGGAUCAGCUGCUAGCGUUGAGAAAAGACAGGGGCCUUGUCUUCAAAGAGGCAGGCAGAGCUUGGAGGAUAAAGUCCCCUCGGGCCUCGCCGACUAACAAUGUCAGGCUCUUGUGUUGGAUGACAGCAGUUUUCCACCUCAAAUUCAUUCAACCAAAUGACCUCAAUAGUCUCAAAACGUGGCGUUCCGAGGAGAAACUCAGACAUCAUAUCUGGGUGUUUGAUAGCGGCCAGUCUGGCAGUCGGUCGGGGGAGAGAGGAGAGGAUGUGGGGUUUAGAUUAGAGCGAGGCGAAGAUGAAGACAGGCUUUUAUAACCAGUCUGGAUGUGAGCCGGGGCCAGAGCUCCUGAAGUAAGCUGUUAAAGAAGCCUUUUAAAAGCACAGGGCUUUGAUGCUGGGAGAGGCUAAUCAUUUUGGUUGGCUAUGUAUCGCUUUAGCAGAACUCUAAAGAAGUCCCAGACAGACUGCCCAAGAAAAAGACCCUCAGAUCUGGCAUGGCUCAGAGUACCUACUGCAUUGGACACAAAGAGACACCUCAACCUAGUCAGUCACCAAUCAGUCAUAUGGCAUAGUACCUGUAUGGUUAGUAGAUCUUGGUAGACUAGAAUCUACUCUAUGGUUAGUAGAUCUUGGUAGAAUAUAAUCUACACUAUACCUGUAUGGUUUGUAGAUCUUGGUAGACUAGAAUCUACUCUAUGCCUGUAUGGUUUGUAGAUCUUGGUAGACUAGAAUCUACUCUAUGCCUGUAUGGUUAGUAGAUCUUAGUAGACUAGAAUCUACUCUAUGCCUGUAUGGUUAGUAGAUCUUGGUAGACUAGAAUCUACUCUAAACCUGUAUGGUUUGUAAAUCUUGGUAGACUAGAAUCUACUCUAUGGUUUAUAGAUCUUGGUAGAAUAGACUCUACCAUAUCUGCAUGGUUUGUAGAUCUUGGUAGAAUAGACUCUACCAUAUCUGUGUAGAGCAGUAGGAAGAUGUCUAGUCUCUAUCGACAGCAGCCUGUGCUUAUAAUGGCUCACUGGGAUCUCAGACAGCUCUACCAUACAUCAACACCUUAUUGGCCACCGAACCCCAACAAACCUCUAGCAUGUUUUCACAGCUUGGAAGCCAGAGGUGAGGGGAGGUCUGGGAAGAGCUGGGAUCCCCACGGUAUGCUUUCCCCCUUUUACUUUGGAACACACACACACACACACACACUCACGCACGCACACACACACUCACACACACACACUUGUGGAAUUCACACAAACACAUUUUUGGAAUUCACUCACACACAAAUUAUUUAUGAAAUUAUUUUAUAAAGCCUUUUUUUACAUCAGCAGAUGUCACAAAGUGCUAUACAGAAACCCAGCCUUAAACCCCAAACAGCAAUGCAGAUGUUGAAGCACAUGCAUGUACACACACUUUGGAAUUCACACACAUACCGACUGUCAUGCAUGCUGUCACGCACACACACAUUUUGAAUUUCACACAUGCACACACACACACACACACACACACACACUGAAAGGCUUUCCCCUAGGGGUGUUUGAAGCUGCCUCUCCAGCCCAUGUUUAUUAUUCCUGAGUGAUUCUCUCCACAGAGACAAUAGAUUUGAAGGGGCACAUGACCCUCUUCCUCGAAAUCUUUGUUUAUAUGUUUUCCCCAACAAAGUAAACAUGCCUUGAGAAAACAAGGCAGAUCGGGUUAGGGCUACACGUUACAUCAUGGACACACAGCGAGGCAGUAUAGUCACUAUUUGUGCCUUCUGACAAUUGUGAGGAGUUAACAAUGAACCAUUCUUGCACCUGCUCUAAACUUGCUUGGUAACAUUGGAAACAUUCAUAUUUUCGACCAUAGCAUGUGAUGAAUGGGAAUGUGAAUGUGGUGAGUUUCCAACAUGAUCAAAAGUAGUGCACUACAUAGGGAAUAGGGUGCCAUUUGGGAAACAUUCUAAGAGAACAAGGGCCUCUCGACCACUGAACCAUCCUGCUCAGCCUUCUGCUACCCAUGAAGCACUCUGCCUGCCACCAGGCAGACCCCACACACCUUGCCAUCCUCCCAUCCUCUGGCUCCUGCAGGAGGCCAAGGCACUGACCCACGGAGGGAAACAGACUCACUACAGAUAACUAUUUUAGACCACAACAGGAGCUACUGAUGUUUUACUGUGCGAUGACUGAAAACCUUAUUUGAGUGAAGUAGCUAGAUGUUUCUGUAGCAGUCACUUCAGGGCAGGAAAUCAUUACAUCAAUAUUGGUUAUGAUGUCAUGUAAUAGCAGGCUGUAGCCAUAGCAACAUAACCUAUAGCUAUCGUACCAUAAAGCCUUACAUUUAAGAACUACAUAUUUCAUUUGUUGUCUAGUACUGUGAGGUGAGGACUCAGAGUAUCUCAAUGUGAGCUCUGUGAGAGGAGAGAAGGUCACACAGAGUGUCUGCAGCUGCAGUCCAGGAUGAAUGGUGGACAGGGGGAUAAAGAUGGGUAGGGGGAUGCAUGGGGGGGGCAGGGGGUGCUCUUGGCCAAAAACAAGAGAGGGACCGAGGCCGACCCACCACUCAGAGACAUGAUGGUGUCCCACCUAACCUGUAGUUCUGCUCCUACAAGAAGAGAGAGACAGACACACAGACACACAGACAGACAGACAGACAGACAGACAGACAGACAGACAUGGACAGACAUGGACAGACAGACUAUUUGCACACAGUGAACUAUUUAGACAUAAUAUGACAUUUGAAAUGUUACUUUUGUGAGUGUAAUGUUUAAUGUUAAUUUGUAUUGUUUAUUUCACUUUUGUUAUCUACCUCACAUGCUAUGGCAAUGUUAACAUAUGUUUCCCAUGCCAAUAAAGCCCUUCCAUUGAAUUGAAUUGACAGACA
Molecule: long non-coding RNA, 4167 nt
Filed under: Salmo salar (Atlantic salmon)
Lineage: Eukaryota; Metazoa; Chordata; Actinopteri; Salmoniformes; Salmonidae
Description: lncRNA (ENSSSAG00000086949.1)
Source: RNAcentral